RNAcentral lists this transfer RNA (68 nucleotides) under Streptomyces sp. F-1. RNAcentral describes it as "tRNA-Lys". It matches the Rfam family "tRNA". Rfam says of the family: Transfer RNA (tRNA) molecules are approximately 80 nucleotides in length. Their secondary structure includes four short double-helical elements and three loops (D, anti-codon, and T loops). Lineage: Bacteria; Bacillati; Actinomycetota; Actinomycetes; Kitasatosporales; Streptomycetaceae. The record is from RNAcentral.
GGCGCCGCUAGCUCAGUUGGUUAGAGCAGCUGACUCUUAAUCAGCGGGUCCGGGGUUCGAGUCCCUGG